UACGUAGGGUGCAAGCGUUGUCCGGAAUUAUUGGGCGUAAAUAGCUCGUAGGCGGUCUGUCGCGUCGGCUGUGAAAACUCGGGGCUCAACCCCGAGCCUGCAGUCGAUACGGGCAGACUAGAGUGCGGUAGGGGAGACUGGAAUUCCUGGUGUAGCGGUGAAAUGCGCAGAUAUCAGGAGGAACACCGGUGGCGAAGGCGGGUCUCUGGGCCGUAACUGACGCUGAGGAGCGAAAGCGUGGGGAGCAAACAGG
Molecule: ribosomal RNA, 253 nt
Filed under: uncultured bacterium
Lineage: Bacteria
Description: partial 16S ribosomal RNA
Rfam family: Bacterial small subunit ribosomal RNA
Source: RNAcentral